UCCACGUUGUUGUCGAGGCCCAUCCACC
RNAcentral lists this non-coding RNA (28 nucleotides) under Mus musculus (house mouse). Lineage: Eukaryota; Metazoa; Chordata; Mammalia; Rodentia; Muridae. The record is from RNAcentral.